GACGAGCGGCGGACGGGUGAGUAAUGCAUAGGAAUCUGCCCGAUAGUGGGGGAUAACCUGGGGAAACCCAGGCUAAUACCGCAUACGUCCUACGGGAGAAAGGGGGCUCCGGCUCCCGCUAUGGGAUGAGCCUAUGUCGGAUUAGCUAGUUGGUGAGGUAACGGCUCACCAAGGCCACGAUCCGUAGCUGGUCUGAGAGGAUGAUCAGCCACAUCGGGACUGAGACACGGCCCGAACUCCUACGGGAGGCAGCAGUGGGGAAUAUUGGACAAUGGGGGAAACCCUGAUCCAGCCAUGCCGCGUGUGUGAAGAAGGCCCUCGGGUUGUAAAGCACUUUCAGCGAGGAAGAACGCCUAGCGGUUAAUACCCGCUAGGAAAGACAUCACUCGCAGAAGAAGCACCGGCUAACUCCGUGCCAGCAGCCGCGGUAAUACGGAGGGUGCAAGCGUUAAUCGGAAUUACUGGGCGUAAAGCGCGCGUAGGUGGCUUGAUAAGCCGGUUGUGAAAGCCCCGGGCUCAACCUGGGAACGGCAUCCGGAACUGUCAAGCUAGAGUGCAGGAGAGGAAGGUAGAAUUCCCGGUGUAGCGGUGAAAUGCGUAGAGAUCGGGAGGAAUACCAGUGGCGAAGGCGGCCUUCUGGACUGACACUGACACUGAGGUGCGAAAGCGUGGGUAGCAAACAGGAUUAGAUACCCUGGUAGUCCACGCCGUAAACGAUGUCGACCA
RNAcentral lists this ribosomal RNA (726 nucleotides) under Vreelandella aquamarina. Its description in RNAcentral is "bacterial SSU rRNA". It matches the Rfam family "Bacterial small subunit ribosomal RNA", at positions 90 to 818 of the family's 1533-position model. The record is from RNAcentral. Lineage: Bacteria; Pseudomonadati; Pseudomonadota; Gammaproteobacteria; Oceanospirillales; Halomonadaceae.